Molecule: ribosomal RNA, 2073 nt
Filed under: Campylobacter coli
Lineage: Bacteria; Pseudomonadati; Campylobacterota; Epsilonproteobacteria; Campylobacterales; Campylobacteraceae
Description: partial 23S ribosomal RNA
Rfam family: Bacterial large subunit ribosomal RNA
Source: RNAcentral
AGAGGGAAACAACCCAGACUACCAGCUAAGGUCCCUAAAUCUUACUUAAGUGGAAAACGAUGUGAAGUUACUUAAACAACCAGGAGGUUGGCUUAGAAGCAGCCAUCCUUUAAAGAAAGCGUAAUAGCUCACUGGUCUAGUGAUUUUGCGCGGAAAAUAUAACGGGGCUAAAGUAAGUACCGAAGCUGUAGACUUGCGCACAACUUAGAUUAUUUAAGUUUAGAAUAUGAGAAACUAAGUUAUAUGUUUAGUUAUAUUUUUACUGAUUUUUAUAGAGUAAAGAUAGAAAUAAAACUUAGUAAAAUCAGUAAAAAUAUUCUUAGACUAAAGUUAAGUAGUUUAAGUUGUGUGCAAGUGGUAGGAGAGCGUUCUAUUUGCGUCGAAGGUAUACCGGUAAGGAGUGCUGGAGCGAAUAGAAGUGAGCAUGCAGGCAUGAGUAGCGAUAAUUAAUGUGAGAAUCAUUAACGCCGUAAACCCAAGGUUUCCUACGCGAUGCUCGUCAUCGUAGGGUUAGUCGGGUCCUAAGUCGAGUCCGAAAGGGGUAGACGAUGGCAAAUUGGUUAAUAUUCCAAUACCAACAUUAGUGUGCGAUGGAAGGACGCUUAGGGCUAAGGGGGCUAGCGGAUGGAAGUGCUAGUCUAAGGUCGUAGGAGGUUAUACAGGCAAAUCCGUAUAACAAUACUCCGAGAACUGAAAGGCUUUUUGAAGUCUUCGGAUGGAUAGAAGAACCCCUGAUGCCGUCGAGCCAAGAAAAGUUUCUAAGUUUAGCUAAUGUUGCCCGUACCGUAAACCGACACAGGUGGGUGGGAUGAGUAUUCUAAGGCGCGUGGAAGAACUCUCUUUAAGGAACUCUGCAAAAUAGCACCGUAUCUUCGGUAUAAGGUGUGGUUCGCUUCGUAUUAGGAUUUACUCCGAAAGCGAAGAAACUUACAACAAAGAGUCCCUCCCGACUGUUUACCAAAAACACAGCACUCUGCUAACUCGUAAGAGGAUGUAUAGGGUGUGACGCCUGCCCGGUGCUCGAAGGUUAAUUGAUGGGGUUAGCAUUAGCGAAGCUCUUGAUCGAAGCCCGAGUAAACGGCGGCCGUAACUAUAACGGUCCUAAGGUAGCGAAAUUCCUUGUCGGUUAAAUACCGACCUGCAUGAAUGGCGUAACGAGAUGGGAGCUGUCUCAAAGAGGGAUCCAGUGAAAUUGUAGUGGAGGUGAAAAUUCCUCCUACCCGCGGCAAGACGGAAAGACCCCGUGGACCUUUACUACAGCUUGACACUGCUAUUUGGAUAAGAAUGUGCAGGAUAGGUGGGAGGCUUUGAGUAUAUGACGCCAGUUGUAUAUGAGCCAUUGUUGAGAUACCACUCUUUCUUAUUUGGGUAGCUAACCAGCUUGAGUUAUCCUCAAGUGGGACAAUGUCUGGUGGGUAGUUUGACUGGGGCGGUCGCCUCCCAAAUAAUAACGGAGGCUUACAAAGGUUGGCUCAGAACGGUUGGAAAUCGUUCGUAGAGUAUAAAGGUAUAAGCCAGCUUAACUGCAAGACAUACAAGUCAAGCAGAGACGAAAGUCGGUCUUAGUGAUCCGGUGGUUCUGUGUGGAAGGGCCAUCGCUCAAAGGAUAAAAGGUACCCCGGGGAUAACAGGCUGAUCUCCCCCAAGAGCUCACAUCGACGGGGAGGUUUGGCACCUCGAUGUCGGCUCAUCGCAUCCUGGGGCUGGAGCAGGUCCCAAGGGUAUGGCUGUUCGCCAUUUAAAGCGGUACGCGAGCUGGGUUCAGAACGUCGUGAGACAGUUCGGUCCCUAUCUGCCGUGGGCGUAAGAAGAUUGAAGAGAUUUGACCCUAGUACGAGAGGACCGGGUUGAACAAACCACUGGUGUAGCUGUUGUUCUGCCAAGAGCAUCGCAGCGUAGCUAAGUUUGGAAAGGAUAAACGCUGAAAGCAUCUAAGCGUGAAGCCAACUCUAAGAUGAAUCUUCUCUAAGCUCUCUAGAAGACUACUAGUUUGAUAGGCUGGGUGUGUAAUGGAUGAAAGUCCUUUAGCUGACCAGUACUAAUAGAGCGUUUGGCUUAUCUUUAAUAAAGCAU